RNAcentral lists this long non-coding RNA (345 nucleotides) under Panicum hallii. RNAcentral's name for it is "long non-coding RNA (PHAL_LNC000807)". The record is from RNAcentral. Lineage: Eukaryota; Viridiplantae; Streptophyta; Magnoliopsida; Poales; Poaceae.
UAGUUCCAAAAAUUAUAAUUAAUUGAGAUUGAAAAUUUGGCUAAUUCACAAGCUAAUCCAUAUAGAUGAAAUGGUACGAUACAAUGUCAGAGCUAUAAAGUAUACAGAAUAUGUUGUUCAACCUAGCUAAAUGUAGAUCGAACAACAAAAUCAUACCACAACCCGCCCUAUAAAUGCUAUCUUCGGCUAAGCUCAAAUAACAAAUUCCAGCCCUAGAAAUUAAUCCAGGAAAACGUUUAAAAUAAAUCCUAGCACAACCGGCACCGACCAUGCCUACGCCGCCGACCACCCCGCACGGACAUGCCAGUGCCGCUCGCAGGGGCCUGCUGCAUGACAGGGCCUGCC